CUGCCUCCCAUUUCGUCAUGUCCUUGAAAGUUACGCACACAACGUGCACCAGAGAACCGAGAAACCGAGAGAAAGAGAGAGAGAGAGCAUCGAUUUUUCUAAUUUCUAGAGAGAGACGACCCGAAUCCGAACCGGAAAGAAAAUGGGCAAGGAUCUGAGCGAGGAGCAAGUCUCAUCAAUGAAAGAAGCGUUCACACUAUUCGACACAGACGGUGACGGCAAGAUCGCGCCAUCCGAAUUGGGGAUCCUAAUGCGAUCUCUGGGAGGCAACCCGACCCAAGCCCAACUCAAAACCAUAAUAGCCGAAGAAAACCUAACAGCAGCUUUUGAUUUCCCUAGAUUUCUGGAUCUGAUGGCAAAGCACAUGAAGCCAGAGCCGUUCGAUCGGCAGCUUCGUGAUGCGUUUAAGGUGCUUGAUAAGGACAAUACUGGUUACGUCUCUGUAGCGGAUCUGCGCCAUAUUUUGACUAGUAUUGGGGAAAAGUUGGAGCCAGCUGAGUUCGAUGAGUGGAUUAGGGAAGUGGAUGUCGGAUCGGAUGGGAGGAUCCGGUACGAGGAUUUUAUUGCUAGGAUGGUGGCUAAGUGAUUUGGAAAGGUUGUGCUUGAUUCUUCGUGAAGUUGAGAUCUUGCGUUGUGUGAGAGAAAGUGCACAAACAGAUUGAGCCUGAUGACCACAUAGAUUUAAUUAGCCAGUUCAAGGGUGGUAACGAUGAUUUGGGGACAUGAGGCUGAUGGCUCCUUGGAAAGAAAAAGAAAAGUGUGAUGGCGUUAGAAAAUCUAUUCUGAGGCUUGUCAUAGCUAAGGAGCGAAAAUGGAAAUCCCAGGCAUGUGGUCCUAUAAUCUAAAUAUCUUUGUUACAAUUGCCGACAAUUUGAGCCGGGUCAAAUUAAACAGGUUAAUUGAAAGCUACUGGUGAUUCUUAAAUGCUAUGUUUCUACCAUUUAAAUGUUAAAUGAGCUAUUACAAUGGAAGACAUGCCUCAUGCAGAUAUAAACAAAGGUGCUAAGUGUCGAGGGCUUCCAUUUGUAGAGCAGAAAUGUUUGAGCACCAUCCUGUUUCAAUCUAAAAAUUUCUGCUUGUAGUUGCUUCCUCCUCCUCCUCCUCUUCCUCCUGUUCUACUUUAUCCAGUUCACCUGAACUUUAUCACUACUGUCGUUCUUUAUCCGAUUACCUAAACUCGCAUAUUGUCAUAACUAUUUAAUAUAUUAUUAUUGCUCAGCAA
Ricinus communis (castor bean) is the source of this 1222-nucleotide RNA transcript. It is a transcript of the gene named probable calcium-binding protein CML13, with no coding region annotated. NCBI's taxonomy places the organism in Eukaryota, Viridiplantae, Streptophyta, Magnoliopsida, Malpighiales, Euphorbiaceae. The record is from RefSeq and is a predicted model, not a curated record. The transcript is spliced from 3 exons.